GCUUUUAUAUAAACUUAAAGUGAUACCUGCCCAGUGAUUUUAAAUUAGAAACAAUAAUUUUGUUUUAAAAUAAUAUUAAACGGACGCAGUAACCUGACUGUGGUAAUGUAGCAUAAUCAAUCGCCAUUUAAUUGAUGGAUAGUAUGAAUGGUUUAACGAGUACUUCACUGUCUUGGGGAGAAAUUUUAUGAAAUUGAUAUAGUAGUUAAGAUCCUACUUAAAAUUGUAAGACGAAAAGACCCUAUAGAGCUUAACUAAAUUCUUUUUAUGAAAAAGUUCAAUAAAAUAAUUUAACUUAACAAAAAAAGAAGGUUAGUUUGGUUGGGGCGACCACCUUUUAUAAUAAACAAAGGUAAACAAUGUUAAUAAUUAAACUUAUUGUCUAAUAAAUUGAUUUAACAAUUACGAAAGUAGGUUAUAGUGACCCGUUAAGAGUAAUAAAUAAUUUUAACGAUUAAUAAAUAAAAGCUACCUUAGGGAUAACAGGAUAAUUUAAGCUUAGAGAUCUUAUCGAAGCUCAAGUUUGUCACCUCUAUGUUGAAUUAAGAUAUCCAAAUGAUGCAGAAGUUAUUAAGGGUAGGUCUGUUCGACCUUUAAAAUCUU
RNAcentral lists this ribosomal RNA (603 nucleotides) under Rhizophysa eysenhardtii. Its description in RNAcentral is "partial 16S ribosomal RNA". It matches the Rfam family "Bacterial large subunit ribosomal RNA", at positions 1833 to 2597 of the family's 2925-position model. Lineage: Eukaryota; Metazoa; Cnidaria; Hydrozoa; Siphonophorae; Rhizophysidae. The record is from RNAcentral.